This 31-nucleotide non-coding RNA is filed under the name Homo sapiens (human). Lineage: Eukaryota; Metazoa; Chordata; Mammalia; Primates; Hominidae. The record is from RNAcentral.
UCUAGAGGCAAAUUCUGCCAGCCUGGGUGUC